This 292-nucleotide ribosomal RNA is filed under the name uncultured bacterium. RNAcentral's name for it is "partial 16S ribosomal RNA". It matches the Rfam family "Bacterial small subunit ribosomal RNA", at positions 505 to 796 of the family's 1533-position model. The record is from RNAcentral.
GUGCCAGCCGCCGCGGUAAUACAGAGGGUGCGAGCGUUGUCCGGAAUCACUGGGCGUAAAGGGCGCGUAGGCGGCCUGAUAAGUAGGGGGUGAAAUCCUGCGGCUUAACUGCAGGGCUGCCUCCUAGACUGUCGGGCUCGAGCACGGUAGAGGCAGAUGGAAUUCCCGGUGUAGCGGUGGAAUGCGUAGAGAUCGGGAAGAACAUCGGUGGCGAAGGCGGUCUGCUGGGCCGUUGCUGACGCUGAGGCGCGACAGCGUGGGGAGCAAACAGGAUUAGAAACCCGCGUAGUCC